Molecule: ribosomal RNA, 253 nt
Filed under: uncultured bacterium
Lineage: Bacteria
Description: partial 16S ribosomal RNA
Rfam family: Bacterial small subunit ribosomal RNA
Source: RNAcentral
UACGUAGGGGGCAAGCGUUGUCCGGAUUUAUUGGGCUUAAAGGGUGCGUAGGCGGCUUUGUAAGUCAGUGGUGAAAUAUGGCAGCUCAACUGUCAAGGUGCCAUUGAUACUGCAGAGCUUGAGUACAGAUGAGGUAGGCGGAAUUGACGGUGUAGCGGUGAAAUGCUUAGAUAUCGUCAAGAACACCUAUAGCGAAGGCAGCUUACUAGGCUGUAACUGACGCUGAGGCACGAAAGUGUGGGGAUCAAACAGG